CGGACGGGUGAGUAACGCGUGGGUAACCUACCCUGUACACACAGAUAACAUACCGAAAGGUAUGCUAAUACGGGAUAAUAUAUUUGAGAGGCAUCUCUUGAAUAUCAAAGGUGAGCCAGUACAGGAUGGACCCGCGUCUGAUUAGCUAGUUGGUAAGGUAACGGCUUACCAAGGCGACGAUCAGUAGCCGACCUGAGAGGGUGAUCGGCUACAUUGGAACUGAGACACGGUCCAA
RNAcentral lists this ribosomal RNA (235 nucleotides) under uncultured bacterium. Its description in RNAcentral is "partial 16S ribosomal RNA". It matches the Rfam family "Bacterial small subunit ribosomal RNA", at positions 99 to 334 of the family's 1533-position model. The record is from RNAcentral.